This 764-nucleotide long non-coding RNA is filed under the name Carica papaya (papaya). RNAcentral's name for it is "long non-coding RNA (CPAP_LNC011033)". Lineage: Eukaryota; Viridiplantae; Streptophyta; Magnoliopsida; Brassicales; Caricaceae. The record is from RNAcentral.
UUCAAAAAAAUGGAAUAAACAGAAGCAAUCAUGUGAUGAGUAUAUCACCCAAUACACAAUCGAUUACAAAGAAUAUGUAUGAAAUCAUUAACAGAUCUGUAGGUAACCAAUGAUUACGAGACACGGUGAUAGAGGCUCAACGGUUUCUGUACUGUUGCUGCUGAGGUGGAGGGAGACGACCUUCAAUCUCCUGACGUGGCAACUCUGCCACCUUUGCCUUUCCUUUCCUAUUUAAGUAUCCACCAUGUGUGCAUUCUGCUGAUGUGGAUCGUUGACCAUGUACAUCAUCUUCAUUCUUUGACACCAAAUACAUGAAAUAGUUUUUUUUUAUUAUUCUUGCAUGGUUUCUCAAACUAUCAUUUUUCUUACUUUUGCAAACCACCGAAUUGGUGCUCAGUGGCAAACAAUGUUGCUUCCAUUUAUACCCUCAUCAUAUUUUGUUAAUUCUUUUUAUACCUUCACAAUAUUUUUUUUAAUUCCAUUUAAAUUCCUUUUAUACUUCUGCAGGCACCGAAGAAAGACGCCCUAAAAUUGCCCUUCUGCAAUCUUUGGCCGAUCCUACACAUCGUCUUCUACAGUCUCUGUUUGAAGAAACAAGCCCCAAUCCCCAAUCGCCUUCUGUAAUCUUUGGCCGCGCCUCACAAUCGUGCAAGGAAGAAAACAGAAUCAGCUCUGUUUCCUCUGUUUCUCAGUUCGGCUCAUCUGUUCCGCUCGGACGUUUCCGACUCUUCAGGUAAUUAUUUUGCAAUAUCCCAUUCUUUUUG